GAUUAGGUGAAGGACGAAAAUGAAGAUUUCUCUCUCUUCUUCGUUCCCUCACACGGAGAUAGAGAUGUGAUGAAGCCUUUCCUUUUCGCCGGUUUGUUUUCUGGCGCCUUUCAACCGGUUUCGGGUUCUUCAACCGGUCCAUGUUUCCGGAGACGCGUCUUCUCUUCGUGGUCUGCCAGCUUUGCCUCCAGCGUCCUCGUCUUCUCUUCCGGUGAGGGACGUCCGGCUUUGUCUCCGCGUCACCCUUCUUGGUGUCGACGGCGGCCCUUCACCGGAGUUCUCCCAGUUUAUUUGAUCAGCGCUUCUCUCAGCUUCUUCGCUCAACCGUUUCUCCUCUCUUCCCCUACGAUCGAUUCUUUUUCCCUUGAUUAGGGUAAAUCAGAGGCCGUAGGUUGGAUUGAAGAUGACUGAUUCCAGUUUUGAAGCGUUGAUCUGGUAUGCGAUUUGGCUCGUUGAAAAGAUGGCCUUGUGUGAGCGAUUUUU
This 483-nucleotide long non-coding RNA is filed under the name Brassica napus (rape). RNAcentral describes it as "long non-coding RNA (BNAP_LNC023709)". Lineage: Eukaryota; Viridiplantae; Streptophyta; Magnoliopsida; Brassicales; Brassicaceae. The record is from RNAcentral.